Molecule: long non-coding RNA, 1998 nt
Filed under: Homo sapiens (human)
Lineage: Eukaryota; Metazoa; Chordata; Mammalia; Primates; Hominidae
Description: HSALNT0125251
Source: RNAcentral
UUUUUUUUGAGACAGCGUCUUGCUCUGUCACCCAGGCUGGAGUGCAGUGGCGUAAUCACAGCUCACUGCAGCCUCGACCUCCUGGGCUCAAGUGAUCCUCCCACCCCAGCCUUCCAAGUAGCUGGGAGCACUCCCAAGUAGCACUAUCAUGUCCAGCUAAUUUUUUAACUUUUUAUAGAGACAGGGUCCCCCUAUGUUGCCCAGGCUGGUCUUCAACUCUUGGCCUUAAGUGAUCCUCCAGCCUCAGCCUCCCAAAAUGUUGCAAUUACAGGCAUGAGCCACUGUGUCCCCCACUCACCAGAUAUGUUUUAAGUUUAAUAGUACCAUGUCAACAAUGAUUAGGAGAAGUGGGUGUCCUCACAUAAUACUGGCAGAAAAAACAAUGCCACUGUGGAUGACAAUUUGACUCAGUCAAAAAUUUUAAAUGUAUACAUCAGAUGAUGUGAACAUUUCACUUCUAAUAUCAAACCAUAGAUAUUUUAUCCAAAUACAAAAAGGGGCAUGUUUGAAAAUGUUAAUUAUUUGUUAUAGCAACAAAUGGAAACAACUUUAAUGUCAUAUCAUAAAGAAAUGGUCACAUCAACUAUAAUAUAUCCAUUUGAUGGAAUUCUAUGUAAUAGUUUAAAAGAAUAAGGUAGAUGUAUUUGUACCAAUAUGGAAAGAUUACAUUUAUUGUUGAUUAAAAGAAGCUAACUAUAAAAAUAACACUAUUUUUUAAAUGUGCAACUACCCCAUGCCUCAUGUCAAACAAAAAAAUCAAUUAACUCUAGGAAGACUAUAAAUACAAACGUAAAAGUCAACACAAAAUUCUAGAACAUAGGAAAUUAUCUUCUUGGCACUGAGUUAGGGAAAAAUUUUUUAAAACAGAACACAAAAUGUAUAAUCUGUAUGGUAAAGAUUAAAAGAUUAAUAAACUGGAGUUCAUUCAAUUAAGAACUUCUGUUCAUCAGGAAGAUGUGUUUAAUAGAACAAAAGAUCAAUUAUAAACAUCUUCUACUCUGUGUAUUGCAACACACACAACCAAGUAAGAACUCUUACCCAGAAUGUAAGGAACUCCUACAACAUUCACACACUAGUAGACAUAACUACUUUGGAAAACUGGCAUUAUCUAUUGAAGCUGAACAUACACAUAUCCUAUGACUCAGCAAAUUCUCUCCUGGGUGUGCUCCAGACAGAAAUACAUGCAUGUGUACACCAAAAGACUUACACAAGGAUUUUCACAGCAGCCUUUUUCAAAUAAUAAUGCAAACUGUAAACAACCUAAAUGACUGCCCCUGGGAAGGAGUGAAAGUCUGGAAGAGGGAUGACGGGAAUCUUUGGAGUAUUAGAAAUGUUCUAAUUUUUGACCUGGGUGCAGGUUACAUGAAUAUUUAGUUGUACAUUUCUGUGUGCAGUUUUGUACAUGUUUGCAAUAUUUAAUAAAACUAAUUUAAGUUAUAAAUAGAUAUAUAUACCCAACAAUUAGAAAACAAUUAGAACAACUGAUUCUCUGUUAAUGAUAUUAAAACACUGUUUAUUUGGCUGGGUGUGGUGGCUCAUGCCUGUAAUCCCAGCACUUUGGGAGGCCAAGGCAGGCGGAUUAUUUAAGGCCAGGAGUUCAAGACCAGCUUGGCCAACACGGCAAAACCUCAUCCCUACUAAAAAUACAAUAAUUAGCUGGCCAUGGUGGUGCGCACCUAUAAUCCUAGCUACUUGGGAGGCUGAGGCAGAAGAAUCACUUGAACCUGGAAUGUGGAGGGUGCAGUGAGCCGAGAUUGUGCCUCUGCACUCCAGCCUGGACACAAAGCAAGACUCUGUCUCAAAAAAAAAAUUAUUUUUUAGAAGUCAUUAGGUAUGAUAAUGGUACUAAAUGUGUAUUUUAAGAGUCCUUCUAUUUUAGAGAUGUAUACUGAAAUAUCUAUAGUGAAAGGAUAUUAUGUCAGAUUAUCUUCAAAAUAAUCCAUGGGAAAGUGAGGGAAAAGGUAAAAGAGGUAUAGUUGAAACAGCAUUGACUAUGAG